RNAcentral lists this ribosomal RNA (476 nucleotides) under uncultured bacterium. Its description in RNAcentral is "SSU rRNA". It matches the Rfam family "Bacterial small subunit ribosomal RNA", at positions 26 to 518 of the family's 1533-position model. The record is from RNAcentral.
AGGAUAAACGCUGGCGGCGUGCAUGAGACAUGCAAGUCGAACGGACGAUCGAGGCUUGCUUCGAUCGUUAGUGGCGGACGGCUGAGUAACGCGUAGGUGACCUGCCCCGAAGUGGGGAAUAACUGCCCGAAAGGGUGGCUAAUACCGCAUGUGGUGGUGCGUUCAAUCGCACCAGUAAAGCCGCAAGGCGCUUCGGGGGGGGCCUGCGUCCGAUUAGCUCGUUGGUGGGGUAACGGCUCACCAAGGCGACGAUCGGUAGGUGGUCUGAGAGGGCGAGUCACCCGAGACUGGGACGUGAGACACGGCCCAGACUCCUACGGGAGGCAGCAGUCGGGAAUUUUGCGCAAUGGACGAAAGUCUGACGCAGCAACGCCGCGUGAGGGAUGAAGGCCUUCGGGUUGUAAACCUCUUUUAUCAGGGAAGAUAAUGACGGUACCUGAUGAAUAAGUCACGGCUAACUACGUGCCAGCAGCCGC